AUUUAUAUAGUUUAACAAAAACAUUACAUUUUCAUUGUAAAAACAAAAUUUAAAUAUUUUUAUAAAUU
This 68-nucleotide transfer RNA is filed under the name Dacus armatus. Its description in RNAcentral is "tRNA-Glu". It matches the Rfam family "tRNA". From Rfam's summary of the family: Transfer RNA (tRNA) molecules are approximately 80 nucleotides in length. Their secondary structure includes four short double-helical elements and three loops (D, anti-codon, and T loops). Lineage: Eukaryota; Metazoa; Arthropoda; Insecta; Diptera; Tephritidae. The record is from RNAcentral.